RNAcentral lists this ribosomal RNA (698 nucleotides) under uncultured Lactobacillus sp. Its description in RNAcentral is "bacterial SSU rRNA". It matches the Rfam family "Bacterial small subunit ribosomal RNA", at positions 69 to 736 of the family's 1533-position model. Lineage: Bacteria; Bacillati; Bacillota; Bacilli; Lactobacillales; Lactobacillaceae. The record is from RNAcentral.
ACUUCUUUAUCACCGAGUGCUUGCACUCACCGAUAAAGAGUUGAGUGGCGAACGGGUGAGUAACACGUGGGCAACCUGCCCAAAAGAGGGGGAUAACACUUGGAAACAGGUGCUAAUACCGCAUAACCAUAGUUACCGCAUGGUAACUAUGUAAAAGGUGGCUAUGCUACCGCUUUUGGAUGGGCCCGCGGCGCAUUAGCUAGUUGGUGGGGUAAAGGCUUACCAAGGCAAUGAUGCGUAGCCGAACUGAGAGGUUGAUCGGCCACAUUGGGACUGAGACACGGCCCAAACUCCUACGGGAGGCAGCAGUAGGGAAUCUUCCACAAUGGGCGAAAGCCUGAUGGAGCAACGCCGCGUGGGUGAAGAAGGUCUUCGGAUCGUAAAACCCUGUUGUUAGAGAAGAAAGUGCGUGAGAGUAACUGUUCACGUUUCGACGGUAUCUAACCAGAAAGCCACGGCUAACUACGUGCCAGCAGCCGCGGUAAUACGUAGGUGGCAAGCGUUAUCCGGAUUUAUUGGGCGUAAAGGGAACGCAGGCGGUCUUUUAAGUCUGAUGUGAAAGCCUUCGGCUUAACCGGAGUAGUGCAUUGGAAACUGGGAGACUUGAGUGCAGAAGAGGAGAGUGGAACUCCAUGUGUAGCGGUGAAAUGCGUAGAUAUAUGGAAGAACACCAGUGGCGAAAGCGGCUCUCUGGUCUG